RNAcentral lists this ribosomal RNA (197 nucleotides) under uncultured bacterium. RNAcentral describes it as "partial 16S ribosomal RNA". It matches the Rfam family "Bacterial small subunit ribosomal RNA", at positions 328 to 539 of the family's 1533-position model. The record is from RNAcentral.
ACGCUCGACACCUACGGGGGCAGCAGUGGGGGAUAUUGCACAAUGGGGGAAACCCUGAUGCAGCAACGCCGCGUGAAGGAAGAAGGUCUUCGGAUUGUAAACUUCUGUCCUCAGGGAAGAUAAUGACGGUACCUGAGGAGGAAGCUCCGGCUAACUACGUGUCAGCAGCCGCGGUAAUCUGAGCGGGCUGGCAAGGC